GUGGUUUGCGUAUCUUCCGUCUGGCGAGAGGCGGCGUCAGGAGGAAGAGGGGAAGACAGACGGAUUCCCGUCAUAAUAAAGGGAUCUACCGUCUCUACGUGGUCAUCAGCAGUGUUCUUCUUUGCCAAACGUAUAGAAGGGCUCUCUUCUGCCAGAGGAGCUCGGUGGUUGUCACCCUUGGUUGUAAACUCAAAAAUAAAGAAACGCGCACGCUUUUUCCGAGUGGGAACGCUUUGGAAGGCUUGGUGGAGACACCUCGGGUGCAACGCUUCCCUUCCCGAAUCCAAAAGCGUCACCAACGUGGACUGAGGAUAGUGGGAGUGUAAAUGGGUGUCUCCUUGUUUACCGGAGGGGGGGGGGGGGGGGGCGGGGAUAAACCAAAAGACUGAGAACAUAUAGUGGGGGUGGAGGAACAUAUUCAGCCAGAAAACGAUCCGACAGCUCGACUCAAGUCUGAACAAUUGAGCCUCACAAAAAAAAUAAAACCCAGACUGGAAGUACAGUAAAUGUCUUGAGGUACAGUACAUGUCUUGAGGUACAGUACAUGUCUUGAGGUACAGGACAUGUCGGGGACUCUGGCUGCCGAAGAGAGGAGGACAGCGAAGGGGAAACAGCAGAUAAGAACUGACAGCCAUCAGGGGGGACGAUAACCCGGGAAUGGACCGGAGGCAGAGAGGAGAUGAGGAGACCACCGUCGGAGAUGAGAGAGAUGGGCACAAAGUGCAGACCAAGCAGGUCUCUCUUCAGAGAUACGAAAUAAGAUACAAAACCGACAAGAUACACAUCAGGAUGUACAAUACUCCAUUAUGAUAUAACACAACAUGCAGCAUUUUAUAUUACAUGACAUAGAGGCAGUGUACUGCACCCGUUCUACUUUGUGAGGGUAAACGAACCACAUACUAACCGUACAAGUGUGCAUUUCUCCACAAUCGUGUGUCUGUGUGUGUGUGUGUGUGUAUGUAUGUGUGUUCUUGUGUGUGUGUCUGUGUGUGUAUGUGUGUCUGUCUAUCUUGGUUAGAAUGUAGACACUCUUUGCUGUAUUUUGAUUACUGAGGGGAAACAUUUACUGUUGUGUUUCUGUUUCCCUAUCAACACGGGCUCUUAUUCAGAACAUGUUGACAUUGGGCCUGCAUCAACAUUACUAACGUGUUACAAUUUGUGAACAACACCAGUAACUGGCUGCAAUGACUGCAUGAGAAAUUGUACAAAGUGAAGUGCUAACAGUUUUUGUUUGUCAUUUUACGCACACACACACACACACACACACACACACACACACACACACACACACACACACACACACACACACACACACACACACACACACAAAUGUAACAGUCCCUAUGAUGUACCAAACACAACACGAGCCUGGUAUGCAGGUUGAGACAAACGGUUAGGACUAAGGAGAGCCAAUGAGAUCCCUACACGACCGCACUUAGUCAAAAAAAGAUGACAUCGCUUUCUGGUGGAAGCAAAAGAAAGCACAGCAUGUCCACAAGAAGCCCGGAUCUACCGUAUAUCUGACCGCCACUUGUGCGCCAUGUUUACAACAUAGGACUCCAGUUGUCUCUCUCCCAAACAAAAAAUCAAAGAAACCUUUUUUACAGUUGUCAGCAUAAGCAAAUAUUAUCCUGCAAGGUGUGUUUUGUUUUUUUGUUUUUUCAUAUUGCAUAAACCACGAUGUGGCUUUUGUUUCUAUGUGUUGAAAGCAAAAUAGCACAAGUGGACUCAAGAUAGCGGUCAGAAAAUCGUAAUCCGUUCCACUUGCCUGACCUAGACGUGCGAAGCGAAACCGUGCUUCUCCUUGUUUUAGUAGGAGCUACAAUGCUAGCCUAACGAGUUGGCUUAAGCUAGUUAGGCUAAUUAACCUUCUAAAUGUGUAUGCAUGAAGUUGAUACGGAGAAUGAGAGGUGAUAGAUGUGAUCGGAAUACUAGUUUUCUGUAUUCAUAUGUGCCUGUCAGCCACACAGUGAGGGAAAUGACGUGCACGUAGUAAUUGUAUCGACCUACAGAAGGCCUUAGUACAUUUCUCUACAAUCCUACUGUCACGGCAACACAUGUGAAUACAUUCAUUCAGUUAUCAGUUACAAGAGAUGUUGGCCAUUCUCAUCAUUCAUCAGGUACAUGCCUGGUAACACUUUUUAUAAGGGUUCAUUAAUUAACCAUGAAUCAACAUUAGUUGAUGCAGUUAUGUGCAUCAUGUUAUAUUAACUAACCGUAAAUGAACAGUUUGCUGAUGCGUCUAGUAAUCAUUUACUAAUGGUAUUCAUGUUAACUAGGGUAAUUAUGUAUGCAUUAUUUAAUGCAUACAACCGCUGCUUCUCCCCUUAUCUCAUACCUAUCACUGAAAACGAAAAGGGAAAGAAAUGGGAAAACAUCCUUGAAAAACACAAAGCAAUACUGAGAUUGUCAACUAACUAACUACCUAAGUACACUUUGACUUACAAGCACUGAACCACAAUACAAAAACCCAUCCCCUGUGCUAAUGCUAUAUAGUCAAGCUAAUGACUGCAUUAGAUAAUGUUAAUUUAUGGUUAAUUAAUGGACCCUUAUUGCCAAGUGUUACCAGUGACCUUGGUAAUGCAAGGUAACCUUAGUUGCUACGUGUGUGUAAUUAUAUUAUUGAAUACGUAUGACAUAUAUUCCACUGGCUCGUACAAAGGGUAAAAUAAUAAGGGUCCCCCUUAUUAUAUUAAUCUUUAUAUAACUUGUCUUACUCUCAGCACAACCAGUUUUUAAUUUAUUUUUAUAUUUUUCUUUUUUUACAUAUUUAUUUGCCGUGUGUGUGUGUGUGUGUGUGUGUGUGUGUGUGUGUGUGUGUGUGUGUGUGUGUGUGUGUGUGUGUGUGUGUGUGUGUGUGUGUGUGUGUGUGUGUGUGUGUGUGUGUGUGCUCGUGCACAUGCGCGCGCGCGCGUGUGUUAUCCGUCUACAGUUUGCCUCGCGCAACAUUAUAUAACGUCCAAGGCUGACGCCAUUUGUGUUUGAGAUGAAGGUUUAAAAGAUUCAGGUCCCGGAGUCAUUUUGUAUCACAAACGUGGCAUGAAAAUUCAAUUUUUGCCUUCAUUUUUUUUUUUACAAUUUCAGUUAAGCGUAGUCAUUUAAUGUAAAUAGUAUUUGUAUUUAGUUGCUGCUUCACAUUCUUUCACCUAUGGCUUUUCACGCAGGGCGUUAUUAUAGGUUCAAAGCAUGGUGACACAGAGGUCCUUUGUUCUCUCUUGGACAUUAGGACAAGGAGGAGGUCUCCAUGCGCCAAACAUGACGGAUUACACAGUCAGUGGAGAUGACUGCUAGAGGCUAAGUACUGUAACACUUAAGAGUAGCACAACAACAGCAACAGCACUUGCUGUGUUUGGAAGCACCAGAGCAAUGGCUGCACUGAGCCUCGGGAGCCUUUGAGCCUCUCAAAGGAACUCACUUUAUUUUUUCAUGUAUUUCUUUUUCUGUGACCCGACCUCUAGAACGGCUUGUUUGAGCGUGAGAUUGAAGAUGAUUGGUUACUUUGUAAAAGUCCAGUUUGAAUUGGGCAAAAUUAAGAUCAACACCCACAAUACAGGCCAAAACCAUCUUAACGUUAAUCACAACAAAGCCUUUUUGAACGAAGGGUCAUAAAAUGUAGAUAAAUUGUCUUGGACUAAUCUUAAUAAACCAGUGAUUAAGUCAGUAAUGUUAUUUGUAAUCCUUAAUGAGCACAUGUUCUUUAGAUCACUUUAGAGUUUUUGCUGUGGUCAGUUUAAAUCUAUCAGCUGAGUUGGCCUAACUGUUAAAAAAUAUAUAUGUGUUCCCUAACUGAUCUGAACUUCAGAUAAAAAGUUGUAAUGUAGUGCUUUUUGCAGAAGGUUAUCUACGUAUGUUGGUUACAUUUUUUGCUUUUCCACUAAAAUCAUACUAGCUUUGCUUACUGUUUCAACAAGGCUUUUACCUUCAGAUUGCAUCAAAUUCAACUCAA
Long non-coding RNA from Gadus macrocephalus (Pacific cod), 3946 nucleotides. RefSeq lists it as uncharacterized. The transcript has 2 exons. Lineage: Eukaryota; Metazoa; Chordata; Actinopteri; Gadiformes; Gadidae. The record is from RefSeq and is a predicted model, not a curated record.